This 699-nucleotide ribosomal RNA is filed under the name uncultured Peptococcaceae bacterium. RNAcentral's name for it is "bacterial SSU rRNA". It matches the Rfam family "Bacterial small subunit ribosomal RNA", at positions 63 to 736 of the family's 1533-position model. Lineage: Bacteria; Bacillati; Bacillota; Clostridia; Eubacteriales; Peptococcaceae. The record is from RNAcentral.
CGAAGAGCGAUGGAAGCUUGCUUCUAUCAAUCUUAGUGGCGAACGGGUGAGUAACGCGUAAUCAACCUACCCUUCAGAGGGGGACAACAGUUGGAAACGACUGCUAAUACCGCAUACAAUCCAAUCUCGGCAUCGAGACUGGAUGAAAGGUGGCCUCUAUUUAUAAGCUAUCACUGAAGGAGGGGAUUGCGUCUGAUUAGCUAGUUGGAGGGGUAACGGCCCACCAAGGCGAUGAUCAGUAGCCGGUCUGAGAGGAUGAACGGCCACAUUGGGACUGAGACACGGCCCAGACUCCUACGGGAGGCAGCAGUGGGGAAUCUUCCGCAAUGGACGAAAGUCUGACGGAGCAACGCCGCGUGAGUGAUGACGGCCUUCGGGUUGUAAAGCUCUGUUAAUCGGGACGAAUGGUUCUUGUGCAAAUAGUGCGAGGAUUUGACGGUACCGGAAUAGAAAGCCACGGCUAACUACGUGCCAGCAGCCGCGGUAAUACGUAGGUGGCAAGCGUUGUCCGGAAUUAUUGGGCGUAAAGCGCGCGCAGGCGGAUUGGUCAGUCUGUCUUAAAAGUUCGGGGCUUAACCCCGUGAUGGGAUGGAAACUGCCAAUCUAGAGUAUCGGAGAGGAAAGUGGAAUUCCUAGUGUAGCGGUGAAAUGCGUAGAUAUUAGGAAGAACACCAGUGGCGAAGGCGACUUUCUGGACGA